RNAcentral lists this ribosomal RNA (254 nucleotides) under uncultured bacterium. RNAcentral describes it as "partial 16S ribosomal RNA". It matches the Rfam family "Bacterial small subunit ribosomal RNA", at positions 524 to 776 of the family's 1533-position model. The record is from RNAcentral.
UACGUAGGGUGCGAGCGUUGUCCGGAAUUAUUGGGCGUAAAGAGCUCGUAGGCGGUGUGUCACGUCGGCCGUGAAAACCUGGGGCUUAACUCUGGGCGUGCGGUCGAUACUGGCAUCACUAGAGUUCGGCAGGGGAGACUGGAAUUCCUGGUGUAGCGGUGAAAUGCGCAGAUAUCAGGAGGAACACCGGUGGCGAAGGCGGGUCUCUGGGCCGAUACUGACGCUGAGGAGCGAAAGCAUGGGUAGCGAACAGG